UACGUAGGUGGCAAGCGUUGUCCGGAUUUACUGGGCGUAAAGGGCGUGCAGGCGGUUUGUUAAGUCUAGGGUGAAAGCUCCCGGCUCAACUGGGAGAGGUCCUUGGAUACUGGCAGACUUGAGGGGGGUAGAGGAGAGUGGAAUUCCCGGUGUAGUGGUGAUAUGCGUAGAUAUCGGGAGGAACACCAGUGGCGAAGGCGGCUCUCUGGGCCCUACCUGACGCUGAGACGCGAAAGCGUGGGGAGCGAACCGG
This 253-nucleotide ribosomal RNA is filed under the name uncultured bacterium. Its description in RNAcentral is "partial 16S ribosomal RNA". It matches the Rfam family "Bacterial small subunit ribosomal RNA", at positions 524 to 776 of the family's 1533-position model. The record is from RNAcentral.